Molecule: long non-coding RNA, 318 nt
Filed under: Nicotiana tabacum (common tobacco)
Lineage: Eukaryota; Viridiplantae; Streptophyta; Magnoliopsida; Solanales; Solanaceae
Description: long non-coding RNA (NTAB_LNC008644)
Source: RNAcentral
GAACCGGACAAACCCUAGCCGAAUUAAGAAGCCACAGCCAUGACGAUCCGGCAGCUCUUAACCCUAGCCCGCCGGUCCCGAAACCUCACCACAUGCCAAUCACUCCGACGUCUCUCUACAUCUUCAUCCGCCGUCGCCGCCACAUCCUCCACCUCUCCGGCCACCGGUCCACCUCCUCCAGAUGCAAUGAUCUACGACCGAUUAGCCGAAGACGUUAAGCACAAAAUCAAACGGCUCGAGAAUCCCGAUUCACGAUUCCUCCAGUACAACUCCCCUCACCCAACCUUAACCGACCACACACCAAUCCUCAGCUUCCCU